Molecule: long non-coding RNA, 614 nt
Organism: Poecilia latipinna (sailfin molly)
Lineage: Eukaryota; Metazoa; Chordata; Actinopteri; Cyprinodontiformes; Poeciliidae
Exons: 2
Source: RefSeq, a predicted model, not a curated record
UUUUUCAUUUGUAAAUUUUCUUAUUUAUGUGACAUUUUAGAAAAGUUAGAUGGGAAAAACGUUUUAGUAACUGCAAUGCCAUUGCAAACCAGAAGAAGGCAGUAAGGCGGGACAAGGGAUGUCAGCCGGUGUUAAACGCCAAAGAAGAAGACAUCCGGCAUGUGAAAACAGAAACUUGUGAUUGUUCGUGGCUGCUGAGUGUAAAAGCUUGGAUUUCGCACACUCUUAGCAUUCUCUUGAUGAACUUCAGUCACCAGAAAUGGUCUUCCAACAGUCUUGAAGGAGUUCCCAGAGAUGCUUAGCACUUGUUGGCCCUUUUGCCUUCAUUCUGCGGUCCAGCUCACCCCAAACCAUCUCGAUUGGGUUCAGGUCCGGUGGAGGCCAGGUCAUCUGGCGCAGCACCCCAUCACUCUCCUUCUUGGUCAAAUAGCCCUUACACAGCCUGGAGGUGUGUUUGGGGUCAUUGUCCUGUUGAAAAAUAAAUGAUGGUCCAACUAAACGCAAACCGGAUGGAAUAGCAUGCCGCUGCAAGAUGCUGUGGUAGCCAUGCUGGUUCAGUAUGCCUUCAAUUUUGAAUAAAUCCCCAACAGUGUCACCAGCAAAGCACCCCCACA